Molecule: ribosomal RNA, 218 nt
Filed under: uncultured bacterium
Lineage: Bacteria
Description: partial 16S ribosomal RNA
Rfam family: Bacterial small subunit ribosomal RNA
Source: RNAcentral
ACGCUCGACACCUACGGGGGGCAGCAGUGAGGAAUAUUGGUCAAUGGGCGCUAGCCUGAACCAGCCAAGUAGCGUGAAGGAUGAAGGCUCUAUGGGUCGUAAACUUCUUUUAUAUAAGAAUAAAGUGCAGUAUGUAUACUGUUUUGUAUGUAUUAUAUGAAUAAGGAUCGGCUAACUCCGUGUCAGCAGCCGCGGUAAUCUGAGCGGGCUGGCAAGGC